GACGAACGCUGGCGGCGUGCCUAAUACAUGCAAGUAGAACGCUGAAGAGAGGAGCUUGCUCUUCUUGGAUGAGUUGCGAACGGGUGAGUAACGCGUAGGUAACCUGCCUGGUAGCGGGGGAUAACUAUUGGAAACGAUAGCUAAUACCGCAUAAAAUGGAUUAUCGCAUGAUAAUCCAUUGAAAGGUGCAAACGCAUCACUACCAGAUGGACCUGCGUUGUAUUAGCUAGUUGGUGGGGUAACGGCUCACCAAGGCGACGGUACAUAGCCGACCUGAGAGGGUGAUCGGCCACACUGGGACUGAGACACGGCCCAGACUCCUACGGGAGGCAGCAGUAGGGAAUCUUCGGCAAUGGACGGAAGUCUGACCGAGCAACGCCGCGUGAGUGAAGAAGGUUUUCGGAUCGUAAAGCUCUGUUGUAAGAGAAGAACGAGUGUGAGAGUGGAAAGUUCACACUGUGACGGUAUCUUACCAGA
This 477-nucleotide ribosomal RNA is filed under the name Streptococcus sp. oral taxon 071. RNAcentral's name for it is "bacterial SSU rRNA". It matches the Rfam family "Bacterial small subunit ribosomal RNA", at positions 28 to 487 of the family's 1533-position model. The record is from RNAcentral. Lineage: Bacteria; Bacillati; Bacillota; Bacilli; Lactobacillales; Streptococcaceae.